CAGCAGCCGCGGGAAUACGGAGGGUGCAAGCGUUAAUCGGAAUUACUGGGCGUAAAGCGCACGCAGGCGGUCUGACAAGUCAGAUGUGAAAUCCCCGGGCUUAACCUGGGAACUGCAUUUGAAACUGUCAGGCUGGAGUCUUGUAGAGGGGGGUGGAAUUCCAGGUGUAGCGGUGAAAUGCGUAGAGAUCUGGAGGAAUACCGGUGGCGAAGGCGGCCCCCUGGACAAAGACUGACGCUCAGGUGCGAAAGCGUGGGGAGCAAACAGGAUUAGAGACCCCUGUAGUCCCUGUCUCUUAUAC
RNAcentral lists this ribosomal RNA (301 nucleotides) under uncultured bacterium. RNAcentral describes it as "partial 16S ribosomal RNA". It matches the Rfam family "Bacterial small subunit ribosomal RNA", at positions 509 to 807 of the family's 1533-position model. The record is from RNAcentral.